AGAGUUUGAUCCUGGCUCAGGAUGAACGCUAGCGACAGGCUUAACACAUGCAAGUCGAGGGGCAGCGGGGAGGCAGCAAUACUUCCGCCGGCGACCGGCGCACGGGUGAGUAACACGUAUGGAACCUGCCCGUAGCAGGGGGAUAAACGGAAGAAAUUCCGUCUAAUACCGCGUAAUAACUCCGAGAGGCAUCUCAUGGAGUUUAAAGGGUAACACCGGCUACGGAUGGCCAUGCGGCGCAUUAGCUAGUUGGCGGGGUAACGGCCCACCAAGGCGACGAUGCGUAGGGGUUCUGAGAGGAAGGUCCCCCACACUGGUACUGAGACACGGACCAGACUCCUACGGGAGGCAGCAGUGAGGAGUAUUGGUCAAUGGGCGCGAGCCUGAACCAGCCAAGUCGCGUGAGGGAAGACGGUCCUAUGGAUUGUAAACCUCUUUUGUCGGGGAGCAAAAGACGCCACGUGUGGCGUUCCGAGAGUACCCGAAGAAAAAGCAUCGGCUAACUCCGUGCCAGCAGCCGCGGUAAUACGGAGGAUGCGAGCGUUAUCCGGAUUUAUUGGGUUUAAAGGGUGCGCAGGCGGAAGAUCAAGUCAGCGGUAAAAUUGAGAGGCUCAACCUCUUCGAGCCGUUGAAACUGGUUUUCUUGAGUGAGCGAGAAGUAUGCGGAAUGCGUGGUAUAGCGGUGAAAUGCAUAGAUAUCACGCAGAACUCCGAUUGCGAAGGCAGCAUACCGGCGCUCAACUGACGCUCAUGCACGAAAGUGUGGGUAUCGAACAGGAUUAGAUACCCUGGUAGUCCACACAGUAAACGAUGAAUACUAAUUGUUCGGGGAGAAUGAUCCCUGAGUGAUACAGCGAAAGCGUUAAGUAUUCCACCUGGGGAGUACGCCGGCAACGGUGAAACUCAAAGGAAUUGACGGGGGCCCGCACAAGCGGAGGAACAUGUGGUUUAAUUCGAUGAUACGCGAGGAACCUUACCCGGGCUCAAACGACACAGGAAUACUUUUGAAAGGAGGUAGCUCUACGGAGUCUGUGUCGAGGUGCUGCAUGGUUGUCGUCAGCUCGUGCCGUGAGGUGUCGGCUUAAGUGCCAUAACGAGCGCAACCCCCAUCGCCAGUUACCAGCAAGUCAAGUUGGGGACUCUGGCGAGACUGCCGGCGCAAGCUGUGAGGAAGGCGGGGAUGACGUCAAAUCAGCACGGCCCUUACGUCCGGGGCGACACACGUGUUACAAUGGCAGGUACAGAGAGAAGCAAUGCGGCGACGCAAAGCGGAACUUGAAAGCCUGUCUCAGUUCGGAUUGGAGUCUGCAACUCGACUCCAUGAAGCUGGAUUCGCUAGUAAUCGCGCAUCAGCCAUGGCGCGGUGAAUACGUUCCCGGGCCUUGCACACACCGCCCGUCA
This 1401-nucleotide ribosomal RNA is filed under the name uncultured bacterium. RNAcentral's name for it is "16S ribosomal RNA". It matches the Rfam family "Bacterial small subunit ribosomal RNA". The record is from RNAcentral.